UACGUAGGGGGCAAGCGUUGUCCGGAAUCAUUGGGCGUAAAGAGCGUGUAGGCGGCUCGGUAAGUCCGCUGUGAAAGUCGGGGGCUCAACCCUCGGAUGCCGGUGGAUACUGUCGGGCUCGAGUACGGAAGAGGCGAGUGGAAUUCCUGGUGUAGCGGUGAAAUGCGCAGAUAUCAGGAAGAACACCCGUGGCGAAGGCGGCUCUCUGGGACGGUACUGACGCUGAGACGCGAAAGCGUGGGGAGCGAACAGG
This 253-nucleotide ribosomal RNA is filed under the name uncultured bacterium. RNAcentral describes it as "partial 16S ribosomal RNA". It matches the Rfam family "Bacterial small subunit ribosomal RNA", at positions 524 to 776 of the family's 1533-position model. The record is from RNAcentral.